GUGGAGUAUGGAGCUGCUUCUCCUGCCCACUGAUUCCUCUGCAGCUGGACGCUGCCUCCUGGCACUGAUCAGCGUCCCCUUCUACGUGUGCUGGGCUCCCUGCAUAGCCACCAUCCUGUUUUCUGUACAAGGCUGGGAUCUGCUCAUGUGACAAGAGGGACACACACCCACGUUUGCAAAUGCUCUGGCGGAGGAUCAGCAUUUCCCAUGGCACCUACUGACAGACAGACACACGACCAGGGCACUUGACCAUCAUGGAAAAUGCUCUUACUGCUUAAAGAGGAAUCUGAGAAAAACUCCCUUUUACCAGAAUUUGGAGGUGGUGCAUUUUUCCAGGCCCUUCAAUGCAGUCCAGUGAUAUUGCCCCACCUGACUCCAUACUCAAUACCAGGCACGGGGUUGUGUCAGGGAGACAAG
This is a long non-coding RNA of Mauremys reevesii (Reeves's turtle), 417 nucleotides long. RefSeq lists it as uncharacterized. The record is from RefSeq and is a predicted model, not a curated record. The transcript is spliced from 3 exons. NCBI's taxonomy places the organism in Eukaryota, Metazoa, Chordata, Testudines, Geoemydidae.